CUCCCUAACUCAAUUGUUAUCUUUGCUCAUACAAGUAUAAAUAUACACACCAUCAACAGCUGAACAAUUCAUAACUUCAUAUUUUUCAUAAGGACUGCUCUGUGAACUCAACAAGAUAAAACCAUGCCUGGAAAAGCAGACAAGAAGAAAUGCCCAGACCCAUGCCCAAAACCAAAGCCCCAGAAAUGCAAAGAUCCUUGCAAGACUACUCCAAAAUGCCCUAAACCUGCACCAAAAUGCAAAGAUCCCUGCAAGCCACAAGAUUGUACCCAAGACAAAAAAUGUGUCAAGAAGUGUUAAACAAGGACUAAAAUAACUACUCUGUUAUCUAUUUAUUUUAAGACAUCUGUCCAAGAUCUUGCUCAUAUCAAGUUAUGGUGUGUCUCAUAGUCCCUUGGAAUAGCAUAAAUUGUUCAGGCUUUAUCCAAUGAUAUCCAGAAUAAUAUCUGAAUAAAUGGAGCUAUAAACUCA
This is a long non-coding RNA of Xenopus laevis (African clawed frog), 471 nucleotides long. RefSeq lists it as uncharacterized. Lineage: Eukaryota; Metazoa; Chordata; Amphibia; Anura; Pipidae. The transcript has 3 exons. The record is from RefSeq and is a predicted model, not a curated record.